CUGGAGAUCACCCCUCUUGGUGUUUUCUGGUGAGCUUAGCUGAAGGGUGGUGAAUGCACUGUGCAGCUCACUCAUGAGGCCAGAUGGAAACCACAUGUGUUUUGCUCCCAAGCAGAACACAUUCCUCCCUUUGGGUUUCAUUAAAAGCAAAACCCCCAAUGCAAAGCUCAUCUCCUUCAAAGCCUUCUCCCCAUGGAUGGCCACAGAUGGUGUCUGACAAUGAACAACAGCUUUCCUCCAUCCAUAUUACCUGUGUGAAUCCCUGAAGGUGACUGGGAAAAUCAGGAGCUGCUGCCAGCAGGCACUUCCCAUGCAUAAUAAAGCACUGGAGACUUUUUUCUGUAAGCAUCAUCACAGAGUCCUCAGCACUGCUUGUGUGCAGCGGGCAGGAAAGCUGGCAGCUCGGAGGCUCUGGAAAUGUUUGUCUUGAUUAUCAAUGUGGGCAGACACAUGGGGCUUUUAGCAAUAGGAUGCUACCUGUCACAUGGAUCAACUUAAGGCAAAUAAAGACGUACGAAGAUAAGAGUUAAAAGCUCUUCCCUUCUUACGUGCUUCCUUGGAAUGUCUGCCUGCUCGCACUGCAAUUAGAGCCACACUAGUUGGCCUUGGGAUGUGAUUUUUCCAUUUGGGCUGUCAGUGUCCUGGUUAUUCUCUGUGGCCCCUGCUCGCUCUGGUGUCACUCCAUGGAAGAUGACAGUGGCACCUUGUCCAGCUGGCACGCAGGGCUGGGAGCACAUCCACUGCCAGCUCACACAGAGGUGUCACUGCUCACACAGAAAAAUGAAUGAACUCAUGAGGAAAAUUAGCAAUUACCCCAUGAUGUCUUCCUUAUGUCUCUGCUUCAGAAUUCUCUCCGUGUGACACAUGGCUUGCUAGGUUCAUCAGGAAUAAGAGGCUGUCGUAGUGCUCCAACCAGCCACUGCAGCAACUCAAACACACAGGGGCACCAGCUCUGUGAAAAUCCUGCCUGGACCCCAGAGAAAGCAGCAGUGGACACAACAGCCUCAGGUUCGUACAACUCCCCAAGAGCUGGAUUUGUUUCUUACCUGACAACUCCAUUUAUUAAAGUCUCUUUUCGGGGAAGGCUGCAGCAGGUUGCUCUGUGAUGAGCAUGAGCUAAAGGACAGGUCUGCAGUGACUGCAGUACAGUAUAUGCAGGAGUUUCGUCGUGGUGUGAAAGCCUACGGCAUUCAAGCUAUGCUGCUGCAGCCCAAAAGAAACGUAUUGGAGGAAAAUCUCAUGAGAGGAAACCCCCAGGCAAAAUGACAGCAGGACUGGGUAGCCCAGCGAAAGAGCUGCAUGCAUUCAUUUGGUUAUCAGUAUCUUUACUGUGGCCUAUAUAAGGAGUACUUUCCUGAAAACCUUGAUAUAAUGAUUGAUAAAUGUAAGAGCUUCAUGUAAUUCUUUGUUUUAUCAGAGAAAUCAACCAGGACUGAUUCCAGCCAAAGCUUCUCCUGUCAAGGGCAGUCCAAUCCUUGAGAACCUCCCAAUCGUCAUUGCACUGAGCAAUAAUCACAUUUAUGAAGGUCUUUUUCCAUGGCUAGACUAGAAAUACUCAAAAGCCUAUAAGAUACAGAUAGUCCAGACCACAGAAAUGAACUCUUCUGGGAGCUUAGGGAGGUUUGCAUGUAGGAUCAGCAGAUGAUCCUAAGACAGGGUCAAAUGGAAACAUGGUUUCGUAUUUUGCAGACAUUUAAGGAACCUGAGUCCAUAAUUUUUAUUUGGAUUUCUUCCAAGUAUUUACUGGAACAAGAAAACCUUUAGAGAUUCUUCCAUCACUAAUAGGUUUUCAACUGAAUUGACAUGAACUCAAGGAGCAAAGAUACUGUAUUCAUAAAAUUUAAUAGCCCUUGUAAUUAAAAAUACAGAAAAUAUGCUUUUUUUUUUAAAAGAAAAGAGGAUAAGAUCGCCCCUAUAAAUAAAGGUGUUGCUCUAAAUCGUUAGCCUGAAUCAAGGGCUGAUGCCCAGCCGUUCAGCUGCACUGCCUUUAGUGCACUCACUUAACACUCUGCCCUCAGGUGCCCCACAGAGCAGCUGCAGAACCUCAGUAAUGGCCAGAGAGAUGCAGACUAAAGCCAGCUCCAUCCUCUGCAGCCAGCAGCCCUCAGGGCAUCGCUGUCAGCCUGCAUUUCUGAAGCAUGCUUUAAUGAAUUUAGUAUUUAGCAUUUAGUGCAGCCACUUGACACCCAGACUUUCAUAUCCCCAGCUAACAGGGAAGGAGCUCAGGACAUCUAUGCUACGACUGUACUGCUCCGCCUACCACAUAAAUUUUGUGAGAAGGGAAUUUUUAUCUAGUAAAUGUUGUCAUUACAGCUUAUUAUUAUCAUCCAUCAAUAUCUUUCCUCCAUAAAUAACCUUCACAAACUUCUCCCUUCCAUUCUUCAGAGCCUGAGAAGUUAUGCAACUUCUGUGAGCCUCUGAUAGGUAAUUAUACAGUGCCUUCAUAUUUAUUGCAAUAGGAAAGAAACAAUCAGAUCUGUCGUUCUUGAGGCUUUUGUGCAGAAUGUAGCUCCAGAGAGAGCCAAUUCCUUAAAGCUGCUGUAGUGUGGAGCAGCUGUGCCAUUCCCUUCAGUGCUGAUCAUGGAGCUCCCAUCUCUCUUUGCAGAGGGGUGGAGGUAGAACCUUGGUACCAAGGCAUACCCACCUGAAUGAAUGUAUUUGUGUCUCUUUCCAGCAGCCCCAUCUCCACAGUGGAUAGAAAGG
Lagopus muta (rock ptarmigan) is the source of this 2703-nucleotide long non-coding RNA. RefSeq lists it as uncharacterized. The record is from RefSeq and is a predicted model, not a curated record. The transcript has 3 exons. NCBI's taxonomy places the organism in Eukaryota, Metazoa, Chordata, Aves, Galliformes, Phasianidae.